UAGGGAAUAUUGGACAAUGGGCGCAAGCCUGAUCCAGCCAUCCCGCGUGAAGGAUUAAGGCCCUAUGGGUUGUAAACUUCUUUUCUCUGGGAAUAAAAACCGGUAUUCAUACUGGCUUGAAGGUACCAGAGGAAUAAGCACCGGCUAACUCCGUGCCAGCAGCCGCGGUAAUACGGAGGGUGCAAGCGUUAUCCGGAUUCACUGGGUUUAAAGGGAGCGUAGGUGGCUUUGUAAGUCAGUGGUGAAAUAUUGCGGCUCAACCGCAAAACUGCCAUUGAUACUGCUUAGCUUGAAUCACGUCGAGGUGGAUGGAAUAAUACAUGUAGCGGUGAAAUGCUUAGAUAUGUAGUAGAACACCGAUUGCGAAGGCAGUUCACUAGGCGUGUAUUGACACUGAGGCUCGAAAGCGUGGGGAUCAAACAG
This 423-nucleotide ribosomal RNA is filed under the name uncultured bacterium. Its description in RNAcentral is "bacterial SSU rRNA". It matches the Rfam family "Bacterial small subunit ribosomal RNA", at positions 355 to 775 of the family's 1533-position model. The record is from RNAcentral.